RNAcentral lists this ribosomal RNA (393 nucleotides) under uncultured bacterium. Its description in RNAcentral is "partial 16S ribosomal RNA". It matches the Rfam family "Bacterial small subunit ribosomal RNA", at positions 523 to 918 of the family's 1533-position model. The record is from RNAcentral.
AUACGUAGGGGGCGAGCGUUGUCCGGAAUGACUGGGCGUAAAGGGCGUGUAGGCGGCUGUCUAAGUCUGGAGUGAAAGUCCUGCUUUCAAGGUGGGAAUUGCUUUGGAGACUGGAUGGCUUGAGUGCGGAAGAGGUAAGUGGAAUUCCCAGUGUAGCGGUGAGAUGCGUAGAGAUUGGGAGGAACACCAGUGGCGAAGGCGACUGGCUGGGCCGUAACUGACGCUGAGGCGCGAAAGCGUGGGGAGCGAACAGGAUUAGAUACCCUGGUAGUCCUCGCUGUAAACGAUGAGUGCUAGGUGUUGGGUAGCGAUAUUCAGUGCCGAAGUAAACACAAUAAGCACUCCGCCUGGGGAGUACGGUCGCAAGACUGAAACUCAAAUGAAUUGACGGGG